GAUGAAGAACGUAGCGAAAUGCGAUAAGUAAUGUGAAUUGCAGAAUUCAGUGAAUCAUCGAAUCUUUGAACGCACAUUGCGCCCGCCAGUAUUCUGGCGGGCAUGCCUGUUCGAGCGUCAUUACAACCCUCAGGCCCCCGGGCCUGGCGUUGGGGAUCGGCGGAAGCCCCCUGCGGGCAUAACGCCGUCCCCCAAAUACAGUGGCGGUCCCGCCGCAGCUUCCAUUGCGUAGUAGCUAACACCUCGCAACUGGAGAGCGGCGCGGCCACGCCGUAAAACACCCAACUUCUGAAUGUUGACCUCGAAUCAGGUAGGAAUACCCGCUGAACUUAAGCAUAUCAAUAAGCGGAGGA
This 353-nucleotide unclassified non-coding RNA is filed under the name soil metagenome. RNAcentral's name for it is "partial contains 5.8S ribosomal RNA, internal transcribed spacer 2, and large subunit ribosomal RNA". The stretch from base 1 to 120 matches the Rfam family "5.8S ribosomal RNA", at positions 35 to 154 of the family's 154-position model. The record is from RNAcentral.